This 250-nucleotide ribosomal RNA is filed under the name uncultured bacterium. RNAcentral's name for it is "partial 16S ribosomal RNA". It matches the Rfam family "Bacterial small subunit ribosomal RNA", at positions 524 to 773 of the family's 1533-position model. The record is from RNAcentral.
UACGGAGGGGGUUAGCGUUGUUCGGAAUUACUGGGCGUAAAGCGCGCGUAGGCGGACUAUUAAGUCAGGGGUGAAAUCCCGGGGCUCAACCCCGGAACUGCCUUUGAUACUGGUAGUCUUGAGUUCGAGAGAGGUGAGUGGAAUUCCGAGUGUAGAGGUGAAAUUCGUAGAUAUUCGGAGGAACACCAGUGGCGAAGGCGGCUCACUGGCUCGAUACUGACGCUGAGGUGCGAAAGCGUGGGGAGCAAAC